UUCAGCUCUUGGGGCUUCAGUAGGACCUGCCUUUCAGUAACUUUCAGAGGCAUGGGGAGCCCUUCCCUGAAAGAGGGGAGAAGGUAACAUCUUAGAAACUGUGAUAAAAUGAUCUCAGGACCCAAAAAGAAAAUGGACAAGCCUGGCAAUGAGAGUUUGCAAUGUGAUGCAAUCACAGGCAAUACCAGGGUGGAAAUUGGAUGGGCAGCUUUCUUCUCUCUAGAAGAUUUUCUUUCCAAGUCCAUUCUUUCUUUUCAUAUUUUCAUAGUUCUAAGGUGAGUGUUAACCUUGGAAUCCAUAGCUUCAGGGGCAGGGAGUAUGGGGACCAGUUAAAGAAGGAAUGGAUUAGAGAAAGCAACUUGGUGAGAUAACACCUCCUAUCACAACACCAGAACCUUUGAACACAUCAGUGUCAGACCUGCAGCUUUGUUCAUAAUUGUCAAAACUUGGAAGCAACCAUGAUGCCGAUAUCCUUCAGCAAGUGAACAAAUAAAUUAACUAUGUGUCUGUCCUGAAGACGCCUGACUUGGUGCCUUUGCCUGACAACUCUUUAGUGUUUAACUAAAGGCAGCGAAACCAUCCCCAGACAUGAAUUGGCAUGAGCAGAAGAAUCACAUUAAAAGAUUGGCUAGAAAACCUAUUGCUAUUUAAAGACAAGGAUUUAUUAAAAGUAAGAGCAUCAGUGGUGCAUCCUUAUGUCCUCCCUUUCUUAGAAAAUCAGUUUUCAUAAUUUCUCUUUGAAUCUGACAGGCUUUAAUUAUAUAACUGGUAGAGAAAUUUAACUUUGAUUUUCAACAUGCAAGAAAAAGAGCCAGGAAACUAUAUGUAUAUAUUAAUGUAUUAGCUAAUAUUUAGUGCAGAGAAGUACAAAGGAGAAAACAAGAGUUGGAUAAUUUUCCUUGUCAGAUAACUUUUUGGUAUUUUUAUAAAAUUAGCAAUGUAUGAGGCUAAAAAUAUACAAAAAUGUACAAAUCAAAAAAAUAAAAUUCUUUUCCUUUGUCCCCACCCCACCUCCCAGGCUUUCUCCAAAGUGUAACUGAUUGACGGUUUUAUAUAUCUUACAGUGGGGGUUGGAGGUCA
This is a long non-coding RNA of Gorilla gorilla gorilla (western lowland gorilla), 1080 nucleotides long. RefSeq lists it as uncharacterized. Lineage: Eukaryota; Metazoa; Chordata; Mammalia; Primates; Hominidae. The record is from RefSeq and is a predicted model, not a curated record. The transcript is spliced from 4 exons.